Molecule: ribosomal RNA, 423 nt
Filed under: uncultured bacterium
Lineage: Bacteria
Description: bacterial SSU rRNA
Rfam family: Bacterial small subunit ribosomal RNA
Source: RNAcentral
GGAACCGCACAAGCGGUGGAGCAUGUGGUUUAAUUUGAUGAUACGCGUAUAACCUUACCUACACUUGACAUCCAACUAAGGCCUAAGAGAUUAGGAGAUAUAGAGUUGAGACAGGUGGUGCAUGGCCGUCGUCAGUUCGUGUCGUGAGAUGUUCAGUUAAGUCUGGCAACGAACGUAACCCUUGCCACUAUUUGCUAACAUUAAGUUGAGGACUAUAGUGGGACUGCCUGGGCAACCAGGAGGAAGAUGAGGACGACGUCAGGUCAUCAUGCCCCUUAUGUGUAGGGCUACACACGUGCUACAAUGGGUACUACAAUUAGAAGCAAGAUGGCAACAUGGAGCAAAUCUACAAAGGUACUCUCAGUUCAGAUAGGAGUCUGCAACUCGACUCCUUGAAGUCGGAAUCGCUAGUAAUCGUGAAUC